Long non-coding RNA from Lolium rigidum, 198 nucleotides. RefSeq lists it as uncharacterized. The transcript has 3 exons. The record is from RefSeq and is a predicted model, not a curated record. Lineage: Eukaryota; Viridiplantae; Streptophyta; Magnoliopsida; Poales; Poaceae.
UUCAGAUUUGGCAUGACGUUUUCUGUCGUCGCGUGACUAACCUUUUUUUUCCAACGGUUAUUAAUUUUAAAGAAGCUUUGCAAGUGCCUUCGGCAACUCCUUAUGGGUACUUACAUGCAAUUCACAUUCUUCACCGAGAUGUGAAGGUGAUUUUGGGGUUUGCCAAGUAUCCACCGUCGGAGAUGAGGAGUGUGGUGC